UGUUCUGGUAACGUCAACAUCUGUCAAAUACCGUUACAUAAUAAAUGGGCCGUGGUAUUACCCUAAGCAUGUUUACACUCGGACCUGCUCGUACAUACAUGUUUUGAUUCUGAGUGGACGCCAUAUUGGAUAUAACGCAGUAGCGAGGUUACAACUUUGGAAGACGCUUACACCUUAGGAAAACACUGCAGGUAAACAAUAAACUCUAGCCAUGGAGCUAUCGAACGAUGUUUCGCCCGAGUCCUUGGACAAAAUCCAGAAAAUCGCUAGAGCCGAAAUGUAUGGCAGGACUCAACUAUUGAAAUUAGACAACAAACUUAGAGAAAUCGACCAUCGAAUCCGGAAGCACAAAGACAAUAAAACGUACAAAUACACGCUCAAACAGAGGCGCAAAGUGACAUUAGGUGUCAGGAAUAUGUUCGCAAAGUACGUCCAGAGGAAGAGCAUUCAGGCCACGAAACUUGUCAUACAAAGCUUCGCAGAGGCCAUGAUGUCGCGUCAUAGAAUGCGACCAGAGACGUCUCGUGAUAGAACAUCAGCGACAUCUAGUGGUAGGAUGUCAGCGACAAAUAGUGGUGAAAUAUCAGCGACAUCUAGUGAUGGAACGGGGACCACGUAAAGGAAUGACAAAGAUUCUUCAUUGAGCAAAAUAAAGCAUUCUUGAAUUGAAACAUAAUAUUUU
Mizuhopecten yessoensis (Yesso scallop) is the source of this 682-nucleotide long non-coding RNA. RefSeq lists it as uncharacterized. Lineage: Eukaryota; Metazoa; Mollusca; Bivalvia; Pectinida; Pectinidae. The transcript has 2 exons. The record is from RefSeq and is a predicted model, not a curated record.